Canis lupus familiaris (dog) is the source of this 1157-nucleotide long non-coding RNA. RefSeq lists it as uncharacterized. The record is from RefSeq and is a predicted model, not a curated record. Lineage: Eukaryota; Metazoa; Chordata; Mammalia; Carnivora; Canidae. The transcript has 2 exons.
UCUGCAGCAGCCGAUCAGCUGGGAAACAUUCAGAGCCAAGCUUUCGUCAUUGUGAUGUCAGCCUUGCCAAUGACAUGUGGACUUCCCUCAACUUAGAGAUAGCUGGAUAUGGAGAAAACAAAAGGAAAUACAGGGACCAAAAACUACACCUAUUUUCUAACGUAAUAUUUAACCAAAACUAGCCCUCAAAGACUUUCUUUUUAUAAAAAUUUCCUAUACCUUGGGAGAAAUCUUCAUGAAUUCCCCUCUGCCUGUAGGAGGAAGGCACAUCAUUAGCACGGUUGUGUCUAAAGAGGACUGAACAGGCUCCAGAGGCUUUGACAUAAUUUUGAGUCAGAAAAGCAGGAAGAAGUCAGCAAGCAUUCAGGAGAGGUGCUGGCAGCAUGGGUCUCAUGAACUGAGCUCCACAACCGUAGCCGAAAUCAUAGGUGGGCUUAGCGAUGUGGUGUUUGGCCACCUGAAACUCUGCUACGCUCACUACAGCUCAAGUUCAAUUUCAUUUUCCUUUUUUCUUCACCAUGACCUUGUGAGUUAGGUGUUAAAGUUUCUACUUUCCAGUGGGAAAAGAUCAAGGCCAUGAAUUGUCAAUGACUUGCCAAAGGGCACACAAAUGGACAGUGCCCUUCGAGCCUCUGUUUAUAGGCAGAUCUUUACAUUUGGCUUUCUUUCUACUGUUCCAUACUCGGUUCGGCCAAGUUUGAACAAGGCUUCAUGCACAAGGAUGUAAGACACCAGAUCAGAGAAAGCCCUGCCAUCACCAUCAGGACGGUAGAGAAGGGCAUGAGACAGGGACAUUGAGACUCUACCAUAAGACAGUGCUCAUUUAAGAAAGAAAGUGCUAGCCAGCCUUCCUCUGAGCUGUAAUCCGCCUGGGUAAGCAGGAAGACAUCAUUUUCCUUAGAAAAGGCAAGAUCACAGUCUUAUGGAUACUUUAUUUUUAGAAUAUAAACAUCGAUGCUUCAUCAGUCCUCAAAGAUUUGCUGUGAGUAUUGAAGAAGACACCAGUUUUUUCAUUUGCUUUUUAAUCACUGAAUGGCUCCAAAAUUAUAUUUCUAUAUAGAGACAACAAGAGUCUUUGGGUGAGGGGCAUCCUAUGCAUAAUGUUUGUGCAUCUUCAGCAUCAAUUUCUCCCCCAACAAAUGUGCAGAAAGAAUCAA